CUUUUUUUGUUCGUGUUUUUGAGAAUUGGCAUUCAGUUUACCAGAGAGCGUUUUCGCUUAAAAAAAU
Molecule: transfer RNA, 67 nt
Filed under: Boodlea composita
Lineage: Eukaryota; Viridiplantae; Chlorophyta; Ulvophyceae; Cladophorales; Boodleaceae
Description: tRNA-Glu
Source: RNAcentral